This 229-nucleotide ribosomal RNA is filed under the name uncultured bacterium. RNAcentral describes it as "partial 16S ribosomal RNA". It matches the Rfam family "Bacterial small subunit ribosomal RNA", at positions 568 to 796 of the family's 1533-position model. The record is from RNAcentral.
CACGUAGGCGGCUUGGUAAGUCAGAUGUGAAAGCCCGGGGCUUAACCCCGGAAGUGCAUUUGAUACUGCCAAGCUUGAGUAUGGGAGAGGGAAGUGGAAUUCCUGGUGUAGAGGUGAAAUUCGUAGAUAUCAGGAGGAACACCGGUGGCGAAGGCGACUUCCUGGACCAAUACUGACGCUGAGGUGCGAAGGCGUGGGUAGCAAACAGGAUUAGAUACCCUGGUAGUCC